Molecule: unclassified non-coding RNA, 291 nt
Filed under: Amphibalanus amphitrite
Lineage: Eukaryota; Metazoa; Arthropoda; Thecostraca; Balanomorpha; Balanidae
Description: damage-control phosphatase ARMT1-like, transcript variant X1
Source: RNAcentral
CCGCCGAGCCGAGCCGGCCUAAUUUUAGCCCGCGGCAGCUGGCGGGCGGCGCUGGCGGAGCGCACGGCAGUACACACAGCACGGUGGAAGUCUGGAGAAGGUCGCCGCUGCUCCCUCCCUGUCUGGGUGAAGGUCACCUGCCUCUGCUGCUGGGUGAGCGCGCCGGCUCAGCGUGCACAGAUAUUCACCGUAAUAAACAACAAGGUGGUGGGUCUACUGAUGAGGGCCAGAAAACACGGCCUGCUCUACUUCGAGGGAGAAAUGCUCUUUCAGAGGAGGGACGACGACAAG